CCUAUCGCCGAAGAACAUCUGGUAUCAUAUGUGGCAUCUGGCCUCGAUUUUGACUACAACCCCAUGUUGUCAUUGAUCAUGACUCAAAACAAGUUGGUCACCCUUGGUGAGUUUUAUUCACGUAUUCUCUUUUGAAG
Non-coding RNA from Triticum aestivum (bread wheat), 137 nucleotides. Lineage: Eukaryota; Viridiplantae; Streptophyta; Magnoliopsida; Poales; Poaceae. The record is from Rfam.